AUGGAGACCACUACAGGAGCAGUUUCUUGUUACCCUGUUGGAAAGUCCCAGAAGCAAGAUCAAGUCUCUCUGCAGAGGAGACUUGGAGAUCUGUCAUCAAAUGACGUCUCCAUUGAGCAUGCCCUGGCCUUGCUCCGAUCCAUAGGGUCUGACGCUAAACAAGACAGAGAAGAGUAUUUAGAGACUAACGAAGUAGAAUCCCAAGCUUCUCCAAACCAUGGUAGCUCUCAGGCAAAUGAUGCCCUGUCCUCUGAGGAGAAGCUCAGGCGCAUGUCCUCUGACGACGCUGCGACUGGCCCGUCUGACGACGCUAACUCUGAAGCUGCGACUGGCCCGUCUGACGACGCUACCUCUGAAGCUGCGACUGGCCCGUCUGACGACGCUACCUCUGAAGCUGCGACUGGCCCGUCUGACGCACGCUACCUCUGAAGCUGCGACUGGCCCGUCUGACGACGCUACCUCUGAAGCUGCGACUGGCCCCCGUCUGACGACGCUACCUCUGAAGCUGCGACUGGCCCCCGUCUGACGAACGCAACCUCUGAAGCUGCGACUGGCCCCCCGUCUGACGACGCUACCUCUGAAGCUGCGACUGGCCCCCCGUCUGACGACGCUACCUCUGAAGCUGCGACUGGCCCCCGUCUGACGACGCUACCGCUGAAGCUGCGACUGGCCCCCCCUCUGACGACGCUACCGCUGAAGCUGCGACUGGCCCCCCGUCUGACGACGCUACCGCUGAAGCUGCGACUGGCCCCCCGUCUGACGACGCUACCGCUGAAGCUGCGACUGGCCCCCCGUCUGACGCACGCUACCGCUGAAGCUGCGACUGGCCCCCCGUCUGACGCACGCUACCGCUGAAGCUGCGACUGGCCCCCGUCUGACGACGCUACCGCUGAAGCUGCGACAGGCCCCCGUCUGACGACGCUACCGCUGAAGCUGCGACUGGCCCCCCGUCUGACGACGCUUACCGCUGAAGCUGCGACUGGCCCCCCGUCUGACGCAACGCUACCUCUGAAGCUGCGACUGGCCCCCCGUCUGACCAUGCCUUUGAGGAACUGUUCACCGCUUCAUCGGAGCCCCGUAAACGGUCAUUAGUGGCCUAUAUAAGCCUCAUACAGGCCAUGGGAAGACAUUACCUGUUGAUAACACAGACUAUUCUCAUGAUCAUGGGAGGUGUGAGAGAAUUGCUGCUCUUUGUGAUGACUGUGGGGGUUGUCAAAGUUUCUUGUUACCCUGUUGGAAAGUCCCAGAAGCAAGAUCAAGUCUCUCUGCAGAGGAGACUUGGAGAGCUGUCAUCAAAUGACGUCUCCAUUGAGCAUGCCCUGGCCUUGCUCCGAUCCAUAGGGUCUGACGCUAAACAAGACAGAGAAGAGUAUUUAGAGACUAACGAAGUAGAAUCCCAAGCUUCUCCAAACCAUGGUAGCUCUCAGGCAAAUGAUGCCCUGUCCUCUGAGGAGAAGCUGAGGCGCAUGUCCUCUGACGACGCUGCGACUGGCCCGUCUGACGACGCUACCUCUGAAGCUGCGACUGGCCCGUCUGACGACGCUACCUCUGAAGCUGCGACUGGCCCGUCUGACGACGCUACCUCUGAAGCUGCGACUGGCCCGUCUGACGACGCUACCUCUGAAGCUGCGACUGGCCCGUCUGACGACGCUACCUCUGAAGCUGCGACUGGCCCGUCUGACGACGCUACCUCUGAAGCUGCGACUGGCCCGUCUGACGACGCUACCUCUGAAGCUGCGACUGGCCCGUCUGACGACGCUACCUCUGAAGCUGCGACUGGCCCCGUCUGACGCACGCUACCUCUGAAGCUGCGACUGGCCCGUCUGACGACGCUACCUCUGAAGCUGCGACUGGCCCCCGUCUGACUUGACGCUACCUCUGAAGCUGCGACUGGCCCCCCG
This is a non-coding RNA of Salmo salar (Atlantic salmon), 1901 nucleotides long. The record is from RefSeq and is a predicted model, not a curated record. Lineage: Eukaryota; Metazoa; Chordata; Actinopteri; Salmoniformes; Salmonidae.